CCCCUAGAUGUUCUGGGCCGCACGCGCGCUACACUGAUCGGUGCAACAAGCAUCCGUCCUUGGCCGACAGGCCCGGGCAAUCUUUGAACGCCGGUCGUGAUGGGGAUAGACCUUUGCAAUUUUUGGUCUUCAACGAGGAAUUCCUAGUAAACGCAAGUCAUCAACUUGCAUUGAUUACGUCCCUGCCCUUUGUACACACCGCCCGUCGCACCUACCGAUUGAAUGGUCCGGUGAAACCUCCGGAUUGGCGCGUGCCCUCGGGCGCCGCCGAGAAGUUGGUUAAACCUUACCAUUUAGAGGAAGGUGAAGUCGUAACA
RNAcentral lists this ribosomal RNA (317 nucleotides) under uncultured eukaryote. RNAcentral describes it as "partial 18S ribosomal RNA". It matches the Rfam family "Eukaryotic small subunit ribosomal RNA", at positions 1470 to 1796 of the family's 1831-position model. The record is from RNAcentral.